This 345-nucleotide ribosomal RNA is filed under the name Cedecea lapagei. RNAcentral's name for it is "bacterial SSU rRNA". It matches the Rfam family "Bacterial small subunit ribosomal RNA", at positions 1000 to 1345 of the family's 1533-position model. The record is from RNAcentral. Lineage: Bacteria; Pseudomonadati; Pseudomonadota; Gammaproteobacteria; Enterobacterales; Enterobacteriaceae.
GCAGAGAUGCUAUAGCGCCUUCGGGAACUCUGAGACAGGUGCUGCAUGGCUGUCGUCAGCUCGUGUUGUGAAAUGUUGGGUUAAGUCCCGCAACGAGCGCAACCCUUAUCCUUUGUUGCCAGCGGUUCGGCCGGGAACUCAAAGGAGACUGCCAGUGAUAAACUGGAGGAAGGUGGGGAUGACGUCAAGUCAUCAUGGCCCUUACGAGUAGGGCUACACACGUGCUACAAUGGCGCAUACAAAGAGAAGCGACCUCGCGAGAGCAAGCGGACCUCAUAAAGUGCGUCGUAGUCCGGAUUGGAGUCUGCAACUCGACUCCCUGAAGUCGGAAUCGCUAGUAAUCGU